RNA transcript from Musa acuminata AAA Group (dessert banana), 3442 nucleotides. RefSeq lists it as uncharacterized. Lineage: Eukaryota; Viridiplantae; Streptophyta; Magnoliopsida; Zingiberales; Musaceae. The transcript is spliced from 12 exons. The record is from RefSeq and is a predicted model, not a curated record.
CAACCCCAUAACUCCGCGUCCUCUUUCGCGGCCAAUCUUUGUGAGAGACAGAGCGCGAGAGAGAGGGGCGCUCCGCCGAAACCCUCGUCUCGAUCUCGCGGCCCCGAUCGCCAAUACCCGAGGGUGGAAACCCCGAUCGCCUCGAUCUCGUCUCGUCCCCAAUGGCAGACGAUCUGGUGGAGGCGAAAAAGCCGGAUGGCUGCGACGCCGACGCGACGGUGAUCCAGAGGAGGAUCGAGUUCCACCCUGCCCGUAAAUUCUUCUCACCAUCGUCCAAUGGGGCUUUCUAUCUUGAAACCCUGAACCCCGAUUCGGAAACUCCCAGGCCCUCGGCGUGCAAUCGGGAUCCUCCCGCGGUUUCGGCGCCGUCACUGGGGAGGAGAUCGGAUGGUGUGGAGGCCUAUGAGCAUGAAAUGGACCCCGAGCUCAGCUCUAGGAUCAGGUUUCGUAAUAUUGGUGCUGGAUUGGCCAAUCUUGGCAACACUUGUUUUCUUAAUUCAGUCCUUCAAUGCCUGACAUACACUGAGCCUUUUGCUGCAUAUCUACAAAGUGGGAAACAUCAAAUUUCUUGUCAGAUAGCUGGAUUUUGUGCAAUGUGUGCCAUUCAGAACCACGUCAUGAUUGCCCUACAGUCAACUGGGAAGAUAUUGUCACCUUCUACUCUUGUCAAGAACUUACGUUGCAUAUCUCGCAAUUUUCGUAAUUCUAGACAAGAAGAUGCACAUGAGUACAUGGUUAGCUUGCUUGAGUCCAUGCACAAAUGCUGUUUACCAUCUGGAGUCCCUAGUGAGUCCCCUACUGCUUAUGAAAAAAGUUUGGUACACAAGAUAUUUGGUGGCCGACUGAGAAGUCAGGUUAAGUGCAUGCAAUGUUCCUAUUCUUCCAAUAAAUUUGAUCCGUUCCUGGAUUUGAGUCUCGAAAUAGCAAAGGUUGAUUCUUUAUGGAAAGCACUAAAACAUUUUACUGCUGUGGAACAAUUAGAUGGAGGGGAAAGACAGUACCAGUGUCAAAACUGCAAAGAGAAAGUUAGGGCCCUCAAACAGCUCACCAUUCACAAGGCCCCUUAUGUUCUCACUAUUCAUCUUAAACGUUUUGAUUCUUUGUUUCCUGGACAGAAGAUUGACACAAAAGUGGAUUUUGAUCUCACUCUUGAUUUAAAACCUUUCAUCAGUGAUCCACAUGAAGAUGAUUUGAAAUACACCCUUUAUGGAGUUUUGGUGCAUGCUGGCUGGAGUACCGAAUCUGGUCAUUAUUAUUGUUAUGUUUGUACCUCUAGUGGCAUGUGGCAUUCUCUUGAUGAUAACCAGGUUUACCAGGUUAGUGAGAAGACUGUCCUAGAGCAGAAGGCCUACAUGCUAUUUUAUGUCCGUGAUAGGAGUUCUAUAGUGAAGAAAUCAUCAGAGAUGAUUAAAAAAGAUUGUGUUUCUACUAAUCCUCCUGGGAAGAAAUUAAUUCCUCACUCAGCCUUAGUUAUAAAGGGAGCAGUUCUAAAUUGUUUGGUGGAUGGGAAACUAAGCACCUUGGAAUCUAGUUCUGCCAUACUUAAAAGUUAUCCUAUUACUGAUUGUCAUCCUGAUUCUGGAAUAGGUACUUCAUCAGAUUCCCAGUUACCUGGAGUAGCAUUUUUGCGAGAAAAUGACAACAACAUACAAAAUGAAAAUGUAGCUCCCCAGAGUGACAGCCAGUUGCUAGGGAGAGAAGCUGCAUUAUUGCGAGCAAAUAGUGAUAUUAUGUCAAAUGCAUUGCAGCAAGGGAAAAAAUCAGCGGAUGCAGCAUCUUCAAAAGAGUUCAUGAUGCCUGUUUCCCAGAUUAUUCAACAGAGGUUGAUUGAAGAUUCAAUCGAACCUGCACGGGACAAGGAUUUUGUUGUUAUGGUUACCCAUGUAAAUGAUGCCACUGUCACCUCUGAAAGUGAUCAAACUAACAGUGGAAAAUGUCUUCUUUCUAAUGAUUGGAACGAAGAGGUGAAGUCAGAUGUGCUCCUCUCUGUGCCAAAUAAUGCUUCCUGCUCAGACUCUUCUCCUCAGCAACAUCAUGAGAAGAUUCUCAAGCAAAUCAAUAUGCACGAGAAUGAUGAUGUUGCAAUUGCAAUUUAUCAGAAUAAUGAUGCACUUAGCAAAAAUGGAACAAGUAACGUACCUGCAGAUAAAAAUCCUCUCAAACUUUUAAACCAGUUGGGAUUCAUGCAGAUGGCAUCACAUGAUAAAACUUCCGUGGAACAUCAGAUUGGUAAUGAGAGCAAGAGGUGCUCAACUAACACACAGUGCAAUGGGGGAGACCUUAAACUGGAGGAAUCUGGAAUGACUAAUGUAUUAAAGGGAUGUUCAAGUGGUUUUGUUGAGAAGGAAGUUCUUGACAUAAUGAAAUCCCAAACAGGACUAAAGCCAAAAAAACAUGUAAAACAUUCACUAAAUGGAAUCUAUUUUGGCCGCAAACAACUGUUUCUUUCUUUGUUGAGUGCAGAUAAAAUCAGGAAAAGAAACAGAAGAAAAAAGCGGCUUUCAAUUAUGACAAGCUUGCAAAAAAAAGCUGUACCUGAUGAUGUUAGCGUGAAUGAUCAGGGCACAUCAACCUCUGAGAUUGUUAAAAAUGUUGUACUUUCUGAGUGUUCUGGUCGAAAGCAUUCUCGUGCUAGUUUCAAGAAAAACAUAAGUACCUGCAGUAUGAGGAAUGAUAGUUACUGUAACAGUGAAUCUUUGAAUAUAUCAACUGGAGGAAUUGGCGGGGACAAUGGUAAAGAUCGAACACAUGAUCAUCCUGAGCAAUCAAGAUGGUGUUCCAGCUCCACAGAUUAUCAGUGCAACUCAAGAGACACAAUUUUAGAUGACAAUGGGCUCCUUCAGCAUAAUAUUAUGAAACUACUCAUGAGGGGCUUGAACAAAAAAACUGUUGCCAGAUGGUAUCACCUGGAAUCACCAGAGUUCGAAGUACACGGACUUAAAAGUUCAAGAAGUAGCAGGAUUGAUUAUGUGGUGGAUGAAUGGAAUGAGGAGUACUGUCAAGGCAAGAGGAAGAAGGCAAAGAAGUCUAAAGAAUCAAAUGGUGGCCAAAACGAGUUCCAGGAGAUGACCAAUGUAAAACAACAAGAAAGAUCCAAAGUGAAGAAACAGAGGUUGCUGAGUAUUAUUCCGUUCAGGAUAUGAUGGCACAAAUGAAAUUGCUGUUCUCAUAGUUUUUGGUUUUCUUUUUUGCCAAACGAGAACCGAACCGAGGAGAUUAUGGUGCAGAACUUCGGAAAAUGGCUGUUCAUUGCAACUCACCUUAAGGUGAAGACAGCACUUCUGUGAUUUUGCAAUAAAUGAUAGCUUUCUAUGAGGGGGGUGUGCCUUGGUACGCCGGUAAGAUUGCUCUUUGGUACUUGGGAAAACAUGAUUUGAGUCAUAAAAAUAGUCUCGCUAUAUUUAAGUGUAAAGGUGCAUAUAUUGAUCCUUCCCAAACCUCA